UUUCAGGACAAUUUAAGGACAACUGCCAGUGAAAUCCUCAAGUUCUAAAGCAUAAGAUUGAGAAUGGAAAUGAGGAAUAUGGCAAAGAGACAACAACCUGACAAAAGAACAGAACACAGCAGUUAAACUUUCUAGGUGAUAAUAUUCAGUAGCUCAAGAAAGAUCUUGAUUUUUUCAAAGAGUUGCAAUACCUGAUUUAAUUGGUUAUUGUCCGUGAUUUUUUGUUUUUC
This 230-nucleotide long non-coding RNA is filed under the name Mytilus galloprovincialis (Mediterranean mussel). The record is from RNAcentral. Lineage: Eukaryota; Metazoa; Mollusca; Bivalvia; Mytilida; Mytilidae.